This 301-nucleotide ribosomal RNA is filed under the name uncultured bacterium. RNAcentral describes it as "partial 16S ribosomal RNA". It matches the Rfam family "Bacterial small subunit ribosomal RNA", at positions 509 to 807 of the family's 1533-position model. The record is from RNAcentral.
CAGUAGCCACGGUAAUACGAGGGGGGCAAGCGUUGUUCGGAAUUAUUGGGCGUAAAGGGCGCGUAGGCGGUUUGGCAAGUUUGGUGUGAAAUCUUCGGGCUCAACUCGAAGUCUGCAUCGAAAACUGCCGGGCUUGAGUAUGGGAGAGGUGAGUGGAAUUUCCGGUGUAGCGGUGAAAUGCGUAGAUAUCGGAAGGAACACCUGUGGCGAAAGCGGCUCACUGGACCAUUACUGACGCUGAGGCGCGAAAGCUAGGGGAGCAAACAGGAUUAGAUACCCCAGUAGUCCCUGUCUCUUAUAC